GGAAGAUUGCCAGAGUGGUAAUGGCCCAGUUUUGAAAACUGAGCGCGGUACUAUCCGACAAAGGUUCGAUCCCUUUAUCUUCCG
This 84-nucleotide transfer RNA is filed under the name Chitinophaga agri. It matches the Rfam family "tRNA". Rfam says of the family: Transfer RNA (tRNA) molecules are approximately 80 nucleotides in length. Lineage: Bacteria; Pseudomonadati; Bacteroidota; Chitinophagia; Chitinophagales; Chitinophagaceae. The record is from Rfam by way of RNAcentral.